Long non-coding RNA from Mytilus californianus (California mussel), 1975 nucleotides. RefSeq lists it as uncharacterized. The transcript is spliced from 4 exons. Lineage: Eukaryota; Metazoa; Mollusca; Bivalvia; Mytilida; Mytilidae. The record is from RefSeq and is a predicted model, not a curated record.
AUUGAACCAUUUAUAGCAACAGCUGUUGAUUGUUUCAAGUGGAGUCGGAGAGUGUAGCUAUUGUGUAUACGUGAAUUGAUUGGUGCUUGCUUUACACCGCAUCAACGCAAAGGACUAUAAUGCAGCGAGAAUACAAAAAGGAUUGUAUGCAGUUGGAUCGUUUAUUUCCAGGAGGAAUUAGUAUCAAUUCUUAUUCUUUCGAUGUCUUUAUGGCAUGCAACUAAAGGAGGACCAGCUCCUGCUGUAACAAGGUUAGAAAUCACAAGUUAUUCAUGCAAUGGAAGAAAUCCUGUCUUUUAUUAUGUCCAGAUGGGAUAUGCAACGUCUACCAUAGUAACUUGGGAUGGUUCUGACAACACAUUGUGGUAUCAUGACUAAAGACCACUAUUGACGAGGUUCAUGACUCCGCGAGCAUUUGGUGGGAUUAACUAGUUUCAACACUCAAUCCUCUCCCUUCAAAUCUCGUGCAGUGGACUAAGAAAAGUAUGCAGAAUAACAAUACAAAAAAGACAGGAUAUGAAAAAGCACUAAACUCUAUAAUAGUAGUUAGGUUCGAUGCGGAUUUUGGAAUGUAAACGGAUGGAAUGAUGAUUUUAGAAUUGAUAAAUAUAAUCUUUUAGUGGCUUGUAUUAAUUCUCUUGAUGUGGAUAUAUUGGGCAUUGGUGAAACACAUUAAAUAAAUUCUAAAUAGUAUAAAUAUAAAAGGAUAUAAAUGGUACGGCCAUAACCGUAAGAAUAUUCAUAUACGUGCGAAAUGGAUCAGGCGGUGUCGGAUUUCUGAUACGCCAAGAAAUUGUAGAUGUCUUUAAUAUUCAAAUGGUGGAUGAUGUCACAGAUGGAAUUUUAUGGAUAAAACUUCAGGAUAAACUAUGCUUGUCGAAUAUAUUCUAUGUUUGUGCAGUGUAUUUGCCACCUGAGAAUUCAACACGAGCUGUUAAUUUCCAUGAUUUUAUGGAGACACUUUAAACAGGGCCGUAGCGUAAUUGAGGCAACUGAGGCAAAUGCCUCACUUUUGAAACGACGACCAAACUUUAGAAGUGUCAUUUUUUUAUAUAGAAACCCCAUUUUACAAUAGAAUGGAUCAUAAGAGGUAAUAGAAACUUCAACAUUAUGCCGAUGAGCAAUUUUUAUUGUCAUAAUAAGAGGGACAACUCUUGAAUUUCAGUUUUGCUGUGUGUAAAGAAUACAUGUUAUAUUUGAACUGAAUUACGGCAUCAAUAUACUGAAAAUAUAUUUUACUAAUUUAUAAACAAGCAAUUGAUAUGAACAAUGAUUAUCAUGUUUAAGUGAAUAUGGGUUUUGUACGACAGCCUUAUCUGUCAAACUUGCUCGAUUUUAAGUCUACACGGUUAAAAUUGUUAGCACGAACAAACUGUUUACCCGUGAAUCAAGUUCAGUAUAGAAUGAAUAUGAGCGAGACUCCCAUUUGUCAAAUGUGUUCAUGUAAAUCUGAGGAGUCCGUGGAACACUUCGUACUCGAAUGUUCUGAAUAUACCCUAAUACGAAACAAGUCUUUUGUCGAUAUCAAUGAGUACCUUAGUACUAACUUCCCCGACUUUUGCUUCACAGGAAUACCGUCCUACGAAAAAAUAAACAUAUUGCUAGGUGAAUAUUUUUAUCAUGUUGAUCCAAAUGUUAGUAAACAUGUGGACAUUUUUAGUAAAACGAUGUUGAGUGAAAUGUACACUUACAGGUCUUCGGUUUUAGAAAAUGAAGCUUACUGUGAUUUGCGUGUGCAAUUAGAUUGGUGUGAACUUUAAAUGUUGAGAUUUUAUCUUAUAUAAUGCUGUUAUGUCUUUCAUGAAAGAUGACUUGUUUUAAAAGGUAUCAAUUUUUAUCUCUGAUAUUGUCUUGUGUGUAUUCUAUUUCAUUGUACAUUAUUCAUCGUAUAUGCUCUUAGACGCAUUUGUGGGUACCCUGCCUGCAAGUGCUCCCGUUGUAAAGGGGUAGUUUCUUAAUAAAUAAAUAUAAAUAU